GUCCACGCCGUAAACGAUGGGUACUAGGUGUGGGAGUUGUCAUGACUUCCGUGCCGUCGUUAACACAGUAAGUACCCCGCCUGGGGAGUACGAUCGCAAGAUUAAAACUCAAAGGAAUUGACGGGGGCCCGCACAAGCAGCGGAGCAUGUGGUUUAAUUCGAAGCAACGCGAAGAACCUUACCUAGACUUGACAUCUCCUGAAUUACCCGUAAUUGGGGAAGCUCUUCGGAGCAGGAAGACAGGUGGUGCAUGGUUGUCGU
RNAcentral lists this ribosomal RNA (261 nucleotides) under uncultured bacterium. Its description in RNAcentral is "partial 16S ribosomal RNA". It matches the Rfam family "Bacterial small subunit ribosomal RNA", at positions 793 to 1055 of the family's 1533-position model. The record is from RNAcentral.